GACGAACGCUGGCGGCGUGCCUAACACAUGCAAGUCGAACGAAGCUGCUGAGACUGAUUUCUUCGGAAUGACGAUUCAGCAGACUUAGUGGCGGACGGGUGAGUAACACGUGAGCAACCUGCCUCUCAGAGAGGGAUAACAGUUGGAAACGAUUGAUAAUACCUCAUGACAUGUUUUUACCGCAUGACGAAAACAUCAAAGAUUUAUCGCUGAGAGAUGGGCUCGCGUCCGAUUAGGUAGAUGGUGAGGCAACGGCUCACCAUGCCGACGAUCGGUAGCCGGACUGAGAGGUCGAUCGGCCACAUUGGGACUGAGACACGGCCCAGACUCCUACGGGAGGCAGCAGUGGGGGAUAUUGCACAAUGGGCGCAAGCCUGAUGCAGCAACGCCGCGUGAGGGAGGACGGUCUUCGGAUUGUAAACCUCUGUCCUUGGGGAAGAAACAAAUGACGGUACCCUUGGAGGAAGCCACGGCUAACUACGUG
This 484-nucleotide ribosomal RNA is filed under the name uncultured organism. RNAcentral describes it as "bacterial SSU rRNA". It matches the Rfam family "Bacterial small subunit ribosomal RNA", at positions 28 to 507 of the family's 1533-position model. The record is from RNAcentral.